AUUGAGCGCUGGCGGCAUGCCUUACACAUGCAAGUCGAACGGUAACGGGCCUUCGGGUGCCGACGAGUGGCGAACGGGUGAGUAAUACAUCGGAACGUGCCCGAUCGUGGGGAUAACGAGGCGAAAGCUUUGCUAAUACCGCAUACGAUCUACGGAUGAAAGCAGGGGACCGCAAGGCCUUGCGCGGACGGAGCGGCCGAUGGCAGAUUAGGUAGUUGGUGGGAUAAAAGCUUACCAAGCCGACGAUCUGUAGCUGGUCUGAGAGGAUGAUCAGCCACACUGGGACUGAGACACGGCCCAGACUCCUACGGGAGGCAGCAGUGGGGAAUUUUGGACAAUGGGCGCAAGCCUGAUCCAGCCAUGCCGCGUGCAGGAUGAAGGCCUUCGGGUUGUAAACUGCUUUUGUACGGAACGAAAAGCCUUCUUUUAAUACGGGAGGGUCAUGACGGUACCGUAAGAAUAAGCACCGGCUAACUACGUG
RNAcentral lists this ribosomal RNA (481 nucleotides) under uncultured bacterium. Its description in RNAcentral is "partial 16S ribosomal RNA". It matches the Rfam family "Bacterial small subunit ribosomal RNA", at positions 30 to 507 of the family's 1533-position model. The record is from RNAcentral.